UACGGAGGGUGCAAGCGUUAUCCGGAUUUACUGGGUUUAAAGGGUGCGUAGGUGGAUUAGUAAGUCAGGGGUGAAAUCUUCAAGCUUAACUUGGAAACUGCCUUUGAUACUAUUAGUCUUGAAUAUCCUGGAGGUGAGCGGAAUAUGUCAUGUAGCGGUGAAAUGCUUAGAUAUGACAUAGAACACCAAUUGCGAAGGCAGCUCACUACGGGAUUAUUGACACUGAGGCACGAAAGCGUGGGGAUCAAACAGG
This 253-nucleotide ribosomal RNA is filed under the name uncultured bacterium. Its description in RNAcentral is "partial 16S ribosomal RNA". It matches the Rfam family "Bacterial small subunit ribosomal RNA", at positions 524 to 776 of the family's 1533-position model. The record is from RNAcentral.